CAGCCGCCGCGGGAACACGAAGGGGGCUAGCGUUGCUCGGAAUGACUGGGCGUAAAGGGCGCGUAGGCGGAUUGUUUAGUUAGGCGUGAAAUUCCUGGGCUUAACCUGGGGACUGCAUUUGAUACGUAUGGACUUGAAUGGAGAAGAGGGUUGUGGAAUUUCCAGUGUAGAGGUGAAAUUCGUAGAUAUUGGAAAGAACACCGGUGGCGAAGGCGGCAACCUGGUCUUUAACUGACGCUGAGGCGCGAAAGCGUGGGGAGCAAACAGGAUUAGAUACCCGAGUAGUCCCUGUCUCUUAUAC
This 301-nucleotide ribosomal RNA is filed under the name uncultured bacterium. Its description in RNAcentral is "partial 16S ribosomal RNA". It matches the Rfam family "Bacterial small subunit ribosomal RNA", at positions 509 to 807 of the family's 1533-position model. The record is from RNAcentral.